AUGAAGAACAUGAAGAACGCAGCGAAAUGCGAUAAUUAAUGUGAAUUGCAGAAUUCCGUGAAUCAUCGAGUUUUUGAACGCACAUUGCGCCCCCUGGCAUUCCGGGGGGCAUGCCUGUCCGAGCGUCAUUUCUGCCCUCCAGCACGGCUGGGUGUUGAGCGCUGUCCCCCCGGGGACACGCCCCAAAGGCAGUGGCGGCGCCGCAUCGGGUCCUCGAGCGUAUGGGGCUUUGUCACCCGCUCGGGAGGGACUCGUCGGCGCUGGUCUUCCCCCAAGGCGAAACCCUUCGGGGUCCGUCUUCUUUCCGGUUGACCUCGGAUCAGGUAGGGCUACCCGCUGAACUUAAGCAUAUCAAUAAGCGGAGGAAAAGAAACCAACAGGGAUUGCCUCAGUAACGGCGAGUGAAGCGGCAAGAGCUCAAAUUUGAAAUCUGGCUCCUUCGGGGCCCGAGUUGUAAUUUGGAGAGGAUGCUUCGGGUGUGGCCCCCGUCUAAGUGCCCUGGAACGGGCCGUCAUAGAGGGUGAGAAUCCCGUCUGGGAUGGGUGGUCCCGCCCGUGUGAAGCUCCUUCGAAGAGUCGAGUUGUUUGGGAAUGCAGCUCUAAGAGGGUGGUAAAUUUCAUCUAAAGCUAAAUAUUGGCCGGAGACCGAUAGCGCACAAGUAGAGUGAUCGAAAGAUGAAAAGCACUUUGAAAAGAGAGUUAAACAGCACGUGAAAUUGUUGAAAGGGAAGCGUUGGCAACCAGACUCGCCCGGGAGGGCUCAGCCGGCACGUGUGCCGGUGCACUCCCCCCCGGGCGGGCCAGCGUCGGUUUGGGCGGUCGGUCAAAGGUCUCGGGAACGUAGCACCCUC
Molecule: ribosomal RNA, 850 nt
Filed under: Penicillium sp.
Lineage: Eukaryota; Fungi; Ascomycota; Eurotiomycetes; Eurotiales; Aspergillaceae
Description: eukaryotic LSU rRNA
Rfam family: Eukaryotic large subunit ribosomal RNA (bases 310-850)
Source: RNAcentral